CAGUCGCCACGGUAAUACGUAGGGAGCAAGCGUUGUUCGGAUUUACUGGGCGUAAAGGGCGCGUAGGCGGCGCGGUAAGUCACUUGUGAAAUCUCUGAGCUUAACUCAGAACGGCCAAGUGAUACUGCUGUGCUAGAGUGCGGAAGAGGCAACCGGAAUUCUUGGUGUAGCGGUGAAAUGCGUAGAUAUCAAGAGGAACACCUGAGGCGAAGGCGGGUUGCUGGGCCGACACUGACGCUGAUGCGCGAAAGCCAGGGGAGCAAACGGGAUUAGAUACCCGAGUAGUCCCUGUCUCUUAUAC
RNAcentral lists this ribosomal RNA (301 nucleotides) under uncultured bacterium. RNAcentral describes it as "partial 16S ribosomal RNA". It matches the Rfam family "Bacterial small subunit ribosomal RNA", at positions 509 to 807 of the family's 1533-position model. The record is from RNAcentral.